Molecule: small RNA, 862 nt
Filed under: Pan troglodytes (chimpanzee)
Lineage: Eukaryota; Metazoa; Chordata; Mammalia; Primates; Hominidae
Description: retained intron
Source: RNAcentral
CAAGUGCGCGCGGACCCCUAGCUACCUCUGAGUUGCGCUGGGCUUGGCUGCUGCACCAUGACCCUGGAGGCGAUCCGCUACUCGCGGGGCUCCCUGCAGAUCCUAGACCAGCUGCUGCUGCCCCAGCAGAGCCGCUACGAGGCGGUGGGCUCGGUGCACCAGGCCUGGGAGGCCAUCCGCGCCAUGAAGGUGCGGGGCGCCCCGGCCAUAGCCCUGGUGGGCUGUCUCAGCCUCGCCGUGGAGCUGCAGGCGGGCGCCGGGGGACCGGGACUCGCCGCGCUCGUGGCCUUCGUGCGCGACAAGCUGAGCUUCCUCGUCACCGCCCGGCCCACCGCUGUCAACAUGGCCCGCGCCGCCCGCGACCUGGCUGAUGUUGCAGCCCGGGAGGCCGAACGGGAGGGCGCUACGGAAGAGGCGGUCCGGGAGAGAGUGAUCUGCUGCACCGAGGACAUGCUGCAGAAAGACCUCAGAGACAACCGAAGCAUUGGGGACCUAGGAGCCCGCCACCUCCUGGAGCGGGUGGCCCCCAGCGGUGGCAAGAUGUGAAACGGAGCUAUGCGAGCAUUGGGAAGAGCAUACCAGGCAGAGGGAACUGCCACUGCGAGGGCCCCUGGGUGGGACUGUGCUCGGUAAGCCUUUCGCAAUCCACGCCCAGACUAGGAGCCUGCACCCCUAACCAAUGGACCACCCUGUCUGUUUGCCCCUCCCCGGGGCCUUCUCCUGGUGGGUGGGGCCCCCGCAGGUGUGAUCCGCUCACUGCACAGCCUGGGCCGCCUGGAGCAUGCCUUCUGCACGGAGACCCGGCCCUACAACCAGGGAGCCCGGCUGACGGCCUUUGAGCUGGUCUAUGAGCAGAUCCCUG